Molecule: long non-coding RNA, 115 nt
Organism: Octodon degus (degu)
Lineage: Eukaryota; Metazoa; Chordata; Mammalia; Rodentia; Octodontidae
Exons: 3
Source: RefSeq, a predicted model, not a curated record
CAAAAUACCAAACAGCCAGAAUUAAUUAAGGAAAGGUUUAUUUUGCUCACAAUUUGUGGAAGUUUCAGCCCAUACUUGGUUUGCUUCAAGGCAGAGGGUAAAGUUCACGGUGGUG